Molecule: transfer RNA, 59 nt
Filed under: Heterocephalus glaber (naked mole-rat)
Lineage: Eukaryota; Metazoa; Chordata; Mammalia; Rodentia; Bathyergidae
Rfam family: tRNA
About the family: Transfer RNA (tRNA) molecules are approximately 80 nucleotides in length.
Source: Rfam by way of RNAcentral
UGUAGCUCAGUGGUAGAGUACAUGCCUAAUGCAUAAGGCACUGGGUUCAAACCCUAGCA